Molecule: long non-coding RNA, 984 nt
Filed under: Equus caballus (horse)
Lineage: Eukaryota; Metazoa; Chordata; Mammalia; Perissodactyla; Equidae
Description: lncRNA (ENSECAG00000048257.1)
Source: RNAcentral
UGGAAAGGUUCUGGGAAUUCAUUAUGAUCUAAACAACUAUUCCAGUCAUUCCUGUGACUCAGCGCCUGCCAGCAGGAUCUUCCUGUGUGCACGGGGCCGGGGGUUGCUGACUCAGUGCUGAGGAGGGCACCUUGUCAGCGCUCCUGGGCUCCCAGCUCCUCCUGCCUCCCCUUCGUCCCCAGAGGACACCAAAGGGAAGCAGGCAGUGGGGGGAGCUUCUCAGCGUGUCCAGUUUCACUUCUAAACCAGCAUCCAGCCUCCUCGAGUUACCACUCUGACCACGUACAUCUGUUAGUCUUCCGGGCACUUUGGCGAGGAAGCCAUCAGGAACAGUCACACAGGCAUCAUGCUUCACGUACCCAAUUAACACGUGUUUAGCCAGCACCUACUAUGCAUCCAGGACUGGGAUCCAGAGAGAUGUGACUGUAUCUACCCACAACUUUCAGAGGUCUGGCGGGGGAAAAGCCCUCGCAGUCCCGCAGGAAGUAAUGGAGAGAGUGCUGCAGCAGGGCUGUGGAGAGCCGGGGCCGCUGAGCAGCAAGCGGCAGCAGGCUCAGUGUCCCCGAAACUGCAAAUGAACUGCUGGCGCUCUCCUCCUUCACGUGAGAAGGAGAAGGAGAAAAGACAGAUCACAUGCUGCCGGAUGAAAAUUAAAGAAGUGAGGACACCAACAUGGCAUCUACUACGUACCAAACCUUUACAUGCCAAAGAGGGAAGUGGAGAAAUCAAUGAAGGCUCCUGAAGGACGUGUCAGCUCCACCUGAAAACAGGAUGAGUUGCCCUUUCAACCCCACUUUGAGUUGAAUAAUACCACAUAAGCACCUUAUGUAUAUGAAGACUGAGGCUGAGAGACCACACAACCGGCCCAAGCACCUACAACUGGAAGUGGUAUGGCCAGGAUUUAAAUUCCUGUUUGACUGACUCCCGGGCUGGUUCCCAUUACCUUCAAGGCCAGGUUGAAGGUCAAGCUACCACAAAGAAGAG